AUUUUUAGAAAUAAUAUUACACGCUAAAAUACUACAAGUUAUAAUCCUCAAAUUUAAAGGACCUGGCGGUGAUCUAGUCAAGUUAGAGGAACCUGUAUCAUAAACGAUACACCACGCAAUAUCUUACCCACCCUCACAGUCUGUAUACCGUCAUUAUAAGAUUACUCUUAUAAGAUUAGUUAUCUCAAUAAAAUCAUUCUUUAUAUAUUAGAUCAAGGUGCAACCUAUGAGUGGGUGCUUAUGGGUUACAAUAUAAUCUUAUAUAUACGAACUUCAGGAUUAAAUAUCCUUUUUGAAGGAGGAUUUAAUAGUAAGGUUAGUUUAAUAAGCUAAACUGAUUUUAGACCUAUAUUAAGUACAUAUCGCCCGUCACUUUCGUUUACAAACGAAAUAAGUCGUAACAUGG
RNAcentral lists this ribosomal RNA (406 nucleotides) under Ctenocheles balssi. RNAcentral's name for it is "partial small subunit ribosomal RNA". The record is from RNAcentral. Lineage: Eukaryota; Metazoa; Arthropoda; Malacostraca; Decapoda; Ctenochelidae.